Molecule: ribosomal RNA, 450 nt
Filed under: uncultured Glomeromycotina
Lineage: Eukaryota; Fungi; Glomeromycota
Description: SSU rRNA
Rfam family: Eukaryotic small subunit ribosomal RNA
Source: RNAcentral
AGCAGCCGCGGUAAUUCCAGCUCCAAUAGCGUAUAUUAAAGUUGUUGCAGUUAAAAAGCUCGUAGUUGAAUUUCGGGAUCAAUAUGUCUGUCGUGCCUUCGGUACGUACGGGUAUAAUUGGUUUCUACCUUCUGAUGAACCUUGAUGCCAUUAAUUUGGUGUCUUGGGGACUCAGGACUGUUACCUUGAAAAAUUAGAGUGUUUAAAGCAGGCAUGCGCUUGAAUACAUUAGCAUGGAAUAAUGAAAUAGGACGUUCGAUUCUAUUUUGUUGGUUUCUAGGAUCGACGUAAUGAUUAAUAGGGAUAGUUGGGGGCAUUAGUAUUCAAUUGUCAGAGGUGAAAUUCUUGGAUUUAUUGAAGACUAACUACUGCGAAAGCAUUUGCCAAGGAUGUUUUCAUUAAUCAAGAACGAAAGUUAGGGGAUCGAAGACGAUCAGAUACCGUCGUAGU